UACGUAGGGUGCAAGCGUUAUCCGGAAUUAUUGGGCGUAAAGGGCUCGUAGGCGGUUCGUCGCGUCCGGUGUGAAAGUCCAUCGCUUAACGGUGGAUCCGCGCCGGGUACGGGCGGGCUUGAGUGCGGUAGGGGAGACUGGAAUUCUCGGUGUAACGGUGGAAUGUGUAGAUAUCGGGAAGAACACCAAUGGCGAAGGCAGGUCUCUGGGCCGUUACUGACGCUGAGGAGCGAAAGCGUGGGGAGCGAACAGG
This 253-nucleotide ribosomal RNA is filed under the name Bifidobacterium longum subsp. infantis ATCC 15697 = JCM 1222 = DSM 20088. Its description in RNAcentral is "partial 16S ribosomal RNA". It matches the Rfam family "Bacterial small subunit ribosomal RNA", at positions 524 to 776 of the family's 1533-position model. The record is from RNAcentral. Lineage: Bacteria; Bacillati; Actinomycetota; Actinomycetes; Bifidobacteriales; Bifidobacteriaceae.